GGGCUGUUAGCUCAGUUGGUUCAGAGCACUACCUCGACAAGGUAGGGGUCACUGGUUCGAGCCCGGUACAGCCCACCA
RNAcentral lists this transfer RNA (78 nucleotides) under Chryseotalea sp. WA131a. RNAcentral describes it as "tRNA-Val". It matches the Rfam family "tRNA". From Rfam's summary of the family: Transfer RNA (tRNA) molecules are approximately 80 nucleotides in length. Their secondary structure includes four short double-helical elements and three loops (D, anti-codon, and T loops). Further hydrogen bonds mediate the characteristic L-shaped molecular structure. tRNAs have two regions of fundamental functional importance: the anti-codon, which is responsible for specific mRNA codon recognition, and the 3' end, to which the tRNAs corresponding amino acid is attached (by aminoacyl-tRNA synthetases). tRNAs cope with the degeneracy of the genetic code in two manners: having more than one tRNA (with a specific anti-codon) for a particular amino acid; and 'wobble' base-pairing, i.e. permitting non-standard base-pairing at the 3rd anti-codon position. Lineage: Bacteria; Pseudomonadati; Bacteroidota; Cytophagia; Cytophagales; Chryseotaleaceae. The record is from RNAcentral.